CACAUUAUUGUUCAAUCACUGUUCAGACCUUUCAGAGCUCCUGAAACACACAAGAAAAUGAUGUCCUUGUUUCUCCUGGUUGGGACGCUUCUCAUCAUCUUUGUCCAGGUCUCCAGUGGGCAGAUCACUAUGACUCAGACUCCUUCAGCGCUCUCUGCUCUCCCAGGAGAAAGAGUCACUAUCAACUGCAAAGCCAGCAGCUCUGUUAGCAUUGGUAGUACAAGCUUCCUAGCAUGGUACCUGCAGACACCUGGAGAAGCUCCUAAACUCCUGAUCUAUUAUGCAAGCACCCUUCAAUCUGGGAUCCCAGCUCGUUUCAGUGGCAGUGGAUCUGGGACUGACUUCACUCUGACCAUCAGCGGUGUCCUGGCUGAAGAUGCAGGAGAUUACUACUGUCAGCAGGGUAGAAGCACCCCUCUCACACAGUGA
Molecule: non-coding RNA, 429 nt
Organism: Acipenser ruthenus (sterlet)
Lineage: Eukaryota; Metazoa; Chordata; Actinopteri; Acipenseriformes; Acipenseridae
Source: the annotation of a RefSeq genome assembly